UCCCUGGUGGUCCAGGGGCUAAGACUCUGUACUCCCAAUGCAGAUGAUCUAGGUUCAAUUCCUGGUCAGGGAA
Bubalus bubalis (water buffalo) is the source of this 73-nucleotide non-coding RNA. NCBI's taxonomy places the organism in Eukaryota, Metazoa, Chordata, Mammalia, Artiodactyla, Bovidae. The record is from the annotation of a RefSeq genome assembly.